This 301-nucleotide ribosomal RNA is filed under the name uncultured bacterium. RNAcentral describes it as "partial 16S ribosomal RNA". It matches the Rfam family "Bacterial small subunit ribosomal RNA", at positions 509 to 807 of the family's 1533-position model. The record is from RNAcentral.
CAGCAGCCGCGGUAAUACGAAGGGGGCUAGCGUUGUUCGGAUUAACUGGGCGUAAAGGGUGCGUAGGCGGGGUUUUAAGUCAGGGGUGAAAUGCCGAGGCUCAACUUCGGAACUGCCUUUGAUACUGGAACUCUUGAGUCCGGGAGAGGUGAGUGGAACUGCGAGUGUAGAGGUGAAAUUCGUAGAUAUUCGCAAGAACACCAGUGGCGAAGGCGGCUCACUGGCCCGGUACUGACGCUGAGGCACGAAAGCGUGGGGAGCAAACAGGAUUAGAGACCCCCGUAGUCCCUGUCUCUUAUAC